AGUCGAGCGGACAGAUGGGAGCUUGCUCCCUGAUGUUAGCGGCGGACGGGUGAGUAACACGUGGGUAACCUGCCUGUAAGACUGGGAUAACUCCGGGAAACCGGGGCUAAUACCGGAUGCUUGUUUGAACCGCAUGGUUCAAACAUAAAAGGUGGCUUCGGCUACCACUUACAGAUGGACCCGCGGCGCAUUAGCUAGUUGGUGAGGUAAUGGCUCACCAAGGCGACGAUGCGUAGCCGACCUGAGAGGGUGAUCGGCCACACUGGGACUGAGACACGGCCCAGACUCCUACGGGAGGCAGCAGUAGGGAAUCUUCCGCAAUGGACGAAAGUCUGACGGAGCAACGCCGCGUGAGUGAUGAAGGUUUUCGGAUCGUAAAGCUCUGUUGUUAGGGAAGAACAAGUACCGUUCGAAUAGGGCGGUACCUUGACGGUACCUAACCAGAAAGCCACGGCUAACUACGUGCCAGCAGCCGCGGUAAUACGUAGGUGGCAAGCGUUGUCCGGAAUUAUUGGGCGUAAAGGGCUCGCAGGCGGUUUCUUAAGUCUGAUGUGAAAGCCCCCGGCUCAACCGGGGAGGGUCAUUGGAAACUGGGGAACUUGAGUGCAGAAGAGGAGAGUGGAAUUCCACGUGUAGCGGUGAAAUGCGUAGAGAUGUGGAGGAACACCAGUGGCGAAGGCGACUCUCUGGUCUGUAACUGACGCUGAGGAGCGAAAGCGUGGGGAGCGAACAGGAUUAGAUACCCUGGUAGUCCACGCCGUAAACGAUGAGUGCUAAGUGUUAGGGGGUUUCCGCCCCUUAGUGCUGCAGCUAACGCAUUAAGCACUCCGCCUGGGGAGUACGGUCGCAAGACUGAACUCAAGGGAUUGACGGGGGCCCGCACAAGCGGUGGAGCAUGUGGUUUAAUUCGAAGCAACGCGAAGACCUUACCAGGUCUUGACAUCCUCUGACAUCCUAGAGAUAGACGUCCCCUU
Molecule: ribosomal RNA, 974 nt
Filed under: Bacillus subtilis
Lineage: Bacteria; Bacillati; Bacillota; Bacilli; Caryophanales; Bacillaceae
Description: bacterial SSU rRNA
Rfam family: Bacterial small subunit ribosomal RNA
Source: RNAcentral